Long non-coding RNA from Tachysurus fulvidraco (yellow catfish), 647 nucleotides. RefSeq lists it as uncharacterized. The transcript is spliced from 2 exons. Lineage: Eukaryota; Metazoa; Chordata; Actinopteri; Siluriformes; Bagridae. The record is from RefSeq and is a predicted model, not a curated record.
UAAAGGCAGGUUUUGGGUUACCUGGCUAUGCGACAUUGCUGGCACCGCCCUCUCGUGGGACCCCAUUCAUGGCUUUCCCCAGGGGUGUGUGUGUUUGUGUGUAUGUGUGACCGCAACUGCAUGGUAACUUGUCUGCCAAACUUAUGUGCUCUGUUUACCACUAUAGGACAAUAUUGUCCCGCUGUUGUUAGCGUGGGCUGUCUGCUAUUUCAAUGCGGGUUGGCAUCCAGUUUGUGAACCAAAAAAAAUCAAUCUAGUGAAGAUGAUUGCGUUUAGUGAGAGUUAUAACUGCUAAUCGCUGCAGGUUGAUCUGGUUGUCCAACCACUUUCUGGGGGAUUAGAGGGUUACGUCCAUUGGUAUGACUGCGCUGUUGUUUUGCCUCUGAGAAUACCGUUGUGGUUCGCUUUGACUCCAACUCGGUACAACGGGGCUUCACGCCAUGUACCGGUAUUUUAGUCGGCAGUUAUGUGUUUGUUUUAUGUCAACUCUAUUUUUUUGGUUUUAUUUAUUUGUUGCUACUUGUCUCAGCACUCCUCUCUUUGUAUUUUGUUUGUUUUCUUUUAUGUAUGUGAUUUAAUAUCACCAUUAGUUUGUUCUGGGUCCUUCUAGAACUGAAGUAUGCACUAUUAAAUCUGCAUGUAUAAAA